Long non-coding RNA from Rattus norvegicus (Norway rat), 1815 nucleotides. RefSeq lists it as uncharacterized. Lineage: Eukaryota; Metazoa; Chordata; Mammalia; Rodentia; Muridae. The record is from RefSeq and is a predicted model, not a curated record.
AACACCAACAAACACAGAGAAAGACAACACACAAACACUUUGGCCCUGCUGUGAGUGUAGAAACCAGGUAACCUGGCGACUCCCUUGGAUCCUACCAGUAUGGAGUUUAGCAAGUUUCAAUAGUGCAGAGUCCUCCUGACUCCCUCCAGGGGCCUGAAGUGUCCUCCAGAAUCCCCAGGGUCACAGAGUUAAGCCACAUCUGCCCUCUGCAAUUGACCCACACCAGGGUAGAGGCUUUCCAGCCAACACCAUGCUCAGGAGUCAAAAGUGAAAGCAAAAGACCAGAGACAAACAGCAGUAGGUGCCUGUUGCUGAGUUUGUCCUUUUGCACUCUGAUAGGUCUCCAGGGAUGGGGGCAGGGGUGUCUACCCAAAUUCAGGACGACCCUCCCACCCCACAACCCUCUUUCAGUGGUACUUACUUCGAGAUAACCCCGAGUGAGACACCGAGAUGCAGAUCAAUGGAAAAGCAAGAGGUUUAUUUUUCAUCACUUCAGGGUCAACCUUCAAUUAGUCCCUCAAGCAAGUGCAGACAGAGCUCAGCAGUUUGCAGUCCUCUGGUGAUCCCUGGAUGGAGUUUGCCAGCCACUUGAGAAUCUGCUGAGAUAUCAUAGACUCCCAGGGGCACAAGGUAUAAUUUCCUAGUAAUUGGAGAAGGAACAAUUGUGGGUCAAAAAUCUGCAGGUGGAUUGGUGUCCCCAUCCCUCCACUGGUGACCCUGUCUGACUACUAGAGGUGAGCACUUCCGGUCCCAUCUCCUCACUGGUGGGCAUUUGGGCCAAGGUCUCUCACAUCUCAGAUCUCUAGGACUUUCUAGGGGUUACCACCUUCCAUGAUGGCAUACCCCCCUCUCCCCGAGUGCCUCAACUCCCAUCACCCACCCCUGAGAACAGCAUGUUUCUAUUCAUUCUCCUGGCCCUCUGGGCUUCUCUCUCCUGUCUUCCCCCCAAUGUCUGAUCCUGUUCUCCCUUUUCCCUUCUCCCUCCCCUCUGCCACUCAGGUCCCUCCCUCCCUCUGCCUCCCAUGAUUAUUUUGUUCCCCCUUGUAAGUGAGAUUGAAGCACCCUCACUUGGGAGUUCCUUCUUGUUUAACUCUUCAGACUGUGGGAUGUAUCAUGAGUCUUCUGUACAUUUUGGCUGAUAUCCAUUUUUCAGUCAAGGGACAAUCUGAUUUGCUUCCAGUUUCUGGGUAUUAUGAAUAAGGCUGCUGUGAACAUAAUGGAGCAUGUGUCCUUGUGGUAUUGUGGAGCAUCUUUUGGGCAUAUGCCCAGGAGUUGUAUAGCUGAAUCUUCAGGUAGAACAAUUUCCAGUUUUCUGGGGGAACUGCCAGACUGAUUUCCAGAGUGGUUGAACAAGUUUGCAAUCCUGUUUUCAAUGGACGAGUGGGGUUCUUUUGGUUGUUUGUUUGUUUGCUUUUUACAUUUUCAAAUUCUGAUCUAUUUUAUGUUAAUUUUUAAAAUGUUCUUAUUAGAUAUAUUUCUUUACUUUCAUUUUAAACAUUAAUCCCCUUCCCUGUUUCCUGUCCACAAGACCCCCCCAUAAGGGUAUUCCCCCUAUAAACUCCCCUUAUACACCCCCCCAUAUCCCCUGCACUUGGGUUCCAACCUUGGCAGGACCAAGGCUUCAGAUUCCACCCUUGCCCCAAGAAGUCUAUUCUCUGCUACAUAUGCUGUUGGAGCUAUGGGUCAGUUCAUGUAUAGGUUUUCAGUAGUAGUUUAGUCCCUGGACACUCAGGUUUGCAUUGUUGUUCUUAGUGGGAUGCGAGCCCCUUGGGCUCUUUCAAUCCUUCCUUUAAUUCCCCCAAUGGGUCCUGUUCU